This 636-nucleotide ribosomal RNA is filed under the name bacterium enrichment culture clone F11 1.697-38. Its description in RNAcentral is "bacterial SSU rRNA". It matches the Rfam family "Bacterial small subunit ribosomal RNA", at positions 8 to 660 of the family's 1533-position model. The record is from RNAcentral.
AGAGUUUGAUCAUGGCUCAGGACGAACGCUGGCGGCGUGCCUAACACAUGCAAGUCGAGCGGGGAGAAGAAUUCGUUUUUCUCUUUAGCGGCGGACGGGUGAGUAACACGUGGGUAACCUGCCUCAAAGAGGGGGAUAGCCUUCCGAAAGGAAGAUUAAUACCGCAUAAUAUCAGGGAGCUGCAUGGCAUUCUGAUCAAAGGAGCAAUCCGCUUUGAGAUGGACCCGCGGCGCAUUAGCUAGUUGGUGAGGUAACGGCCCACCAAGGCGACGAUGCGUAGCCGACCUGAGAGGGUGAUCGGCCACAUUGGAACUGAGACACGGUCCAGACUCCUACGGGAGGCAGCAGUGGGGAAUAUUGCACAAUGGGGGAAACCCUGAUGCAGCAACGCCGCGUAAGUGAUGAAGGCCUUCGGGUCGUAAAGCUCUUUGAUCAGGGACGAUAAUGACGGUACCUGAAAAACAAGCCACGGCUAACUACGUGCCAGCAGCCGCGGUAAUACGUAGGUGGCGAGCGUUGUCCGGAUUUACUGGGCGUAAAGAAUGCGUAGGUGGAUAUUUAAGUGGGAUGUGAAAUCCCCGGGCUCAACCCGGGAACUGCAUACCAUACUGGAUAUCUGGAGUGCAGGAGAGGAAA